Molecule: non-coding RNA, 24 nt
Filed under: Cricetulus griseus (Chinese hamster)
Lineage: Eukaryota; Metazoa; Chordata; Mammalia; Rodentia; Cricetidae
Source: RNAcentral
CUAAAAUUGUCUUAGGAGCAAGGA